CCCGCGUCGGGGAGGUUUCCGGCCCGGGGCCCGACUGCGGGUGGCAUUUCUGGCUAAGCCGUUAGGCGCGAAUUUUCUGUGUCCAGAAAACACAGGGCACGUUACCCGGUAUCGUGGUCUACACCUCGCCCACAAAUCCAUCCCAGGCUGUAUCCUCAUGGAAGCUUUUUCCAGAUGUGCUUGAGGGUUAAGAUCGCAAUGUGCAAGAAGAAAAAGUGCACAUUGGAAAACCUUCUCUUCGGAGAUAUCUAUAUCUAUAUUUAUAUAUAUUUACAGAUAUGGAGAUAUAUACACACACGUAUCUGAAAACAUUCUGACGUUUUAAAAACGGAGCACCAGAGGAGGGGGACUUCAUCUGACUUGUUCAGCACUGUCUCCCAGGCCCUGGCACAGAGGGAGCACUCGAUACACACCGAUGGGCUGAAGGUGUGAAUGGAUCUGGGGACUAGAGUGAUGGUUAUUUGGCAGACAGCAUGCCCCGCCUGGGCAGUAGCCGUGAAGACUCUUCUUUUCCUCUCCUCGCCUGCACUCUUUAGGAUUGAACAGCAUUGGUUCAAUGCAUAUUCUGGGAGCACAGAGAAAAAAGGGAUCAAGUUCCACCAUUAUGCAAAAGGGACUCCUGUAAGCCAGACCCUGAGCCGUUGUCAAAACACAGCUUAAUCCCCAUUCCCUGGGCCCGAGACCCUGCAGCCCCCACGCUGCCCGGCUUCCGGUCUUACCUGGGGCAACCUGACCAACAAGAACGCGGAAGGCCAGGAGCCAAAAACAGAGACUCCUGAUGGGUAACAGAAGGAAAAGACUUGGAGGCUGCCAUUUCUCCAAGUAGUCCUGGAGAUUCUCAAAUGCUAAAGUUAACCAACACAGUGCCCUAAGACCAGAAAGGAGAAAAAAUGGAAGUUCUGGGUCCUGCCAAAGGACUAUUUCACUGAGCAGACUGCUGAGACCUCUGAAUUAUGUGGACACUUGAGAAUCAGUCAUGUGUUGGGGCCGGCGUCGUGGCUCAUGCCUGUAAUCCCAGCACUUUGGCAUUUUGGGAGGCCAAGGCGGGUGGAUCACCUGUGGUCAGGAGUUCGAGACCAGCCUGGUCAACAUGGUGAAACCCUGUCUUUACUAAAAACAAAAACAAACCCCAAAAAUUAGCCAGGUAUGGUGGCCGGCACCUGUAAUCCGAGCUAGUCGGGAGGCUGAGGCAGGAGAACUGCUUGGGCUUGGGAGGCAGAGGUUGCAGUGAGCCGAGAUUGUGCCACUGCACUUCAGCCUGGGCGACAAGAGUGAAACACCAGCUCAAAAAAAAAAAAAAAAAAAAAAAACCAAAAAAAAAAAAACCAAAAUCAGUCACCUGUUGGUUUGUGGAUCAAACAAAGUGGAGGUGACAUCACUGAAGCCUAGGACAUCACUCCCCUUUUCCAGGCAGGCUUUGUGGUUCGACCUGUCUCACGUUCCAACCCAUGCACCCUAACCCCCUACUUCUUUACCUCUUCCAAUUGAGACACAAGAUUCAUUUUGGCCCAAAGGAGGUGCCUUGAAUUUUGGUAAAGAUCGGGCAGGCAGAAUAGAGACAUUGCCCU
Molecule: long non-coding RNA, 1568 nt
Filed under: Homo sapiens (human)
Lineage: Eukaryota; Metazoa; Chordata; Mammalia; Primates; Hominidae
Description: HSALNT0344802
Source: RNAcentral